This 205-nucleotide ribosomal RNA is filed under the name uncultured bacterium. RNAcentral's name for it is "partial 16S ribosomal RNA". It matches the Rfam family "Bacterial small subunit ribosomal RNA", at positions 28 to 226 of the family's 1533-position model. The record is from RNAcentral.
GACGAACGCUGGCGGCGCGCUUAACACAUGCAAGUGGAGCGACGAACCGGGGCUUGCCCCGGGGCAGAGCCGCGAACGGGAGAGUAACACGUGGGUAACCCACCCCGAUGACCGGGACAACCCGAGGAAACUCGGGCUAAUACCGGAUGUGCUCCUUGACCUUGAGGUCAAGGCGUAAAGAUAGCUUCGGCCUUCGCAUCGGGAC